AGAGUGAACGCUGGCGGCAGGCCUAACACAUGCAAGUCGAACGGCAGCACAGGGGAGCUUGCUCCCUGGGUGGCGAGUGGCGGACGGGUGAGGACAACGUCGGAAUCUGCCUUUUUGUGGGGGAUAACGUAGGGAAACUUACGCUAAUACCGCAUACGACCCCAGGCCGGGAGGUUUGGGGUGAAAGCGGAGGACCUUCGGGCUUCGCGCAGAAAGAUGAGCCGACGUCGGAUUAGCUAGUUGGUGGGGUAAAGGCCCACCAAGGCGACGAUCCGUAGCUGGUCUGAGAGGAUGAUCAGCCACACUGGAACUGAGACACGGUCCAGACUCCUACGGGAGCAGCAGUGGGGAAUAUGGACAAUGGGCGCAAGCCUGAUCCAGCCAUGCUGCGUGUGUGAAGAGGCCUUGGUUGUAAGCACUUUGUGGAGAAAGCAUGGUAAUACCUGUGUAUGACGUACCCAAAGAAUAAGCACGGCUAACUUGUGCAGCAGCCGA
Molecule: ribosomal RNA, 495 nt
Filed under: uncultured soil bacterium
Lineage: Bacteria
Description: bacterial SSU rRNA
Rfam family: Bacterial small subunit ribosomal RNA
Source: RNAcentral